AACAAAUCCACAGAUCCCCUUGAAAUCUAUCCAAUGAUCAUCUGUGGACACCAGGCUAAGCAUCUCUGCCUUAGAAGAUUCCAGAGCUAACUGCUUUCUCCACCCUUUUCCUACCUCCUCCCCAUUCUCUUAGGUAUGCCAGUUUCUACAAGGUGCCACAGUCAAAAACACCCCCAGAACAGCAAGUCCCUUAUGCCAUCAAGGGCAACCAGUGGGUUGGCUUUGAUGAUGUGGAGAGUGUGGAGACCAAGGUCCAGUAUUUGAAGAACUCAAGAUUGGGAGGGCCCAUGAUUUGGUCCAUCGACUUGGAUGAUUUUACUUUUAAAUUCUGCAAAAAGUGUUCAUUUCUGCUCCUCCAGGCAAUCAAGAAAACACUGGACUCUGCCAAUAAAGUUUAAACUAGAAACUGAACACCUGGCAUUCCUCCACCUUGACAGUGCUCACAGAUGGAUGCCCUGAGACUGUGGCUAGCUUUGCUGUCCUACCCACUCCACCAGACAGCCUCACUUCAUUCUCAAGCUGCUGAACAGAAUAAAAUAGAAAUGAUUCUA
Long non-coding RNA from Vombatus ursinus (common wombat), 551 nucleotides. RefSeq lists it as uncharacterized. The record is from RefSeq and is a predicted model, not a curated record. The transcript is spliced from 3 exons. Lineage: Eukaryota; Metazoa; Chordata; Mammalia; Diprotodontia; Vombatidae.